GAUGAACGCUGGCGGCGUGCCUAAUACAUGCAAGUCGAGCGAACAGACGAGGAGCUUGCUCCUCUGACGUUAGCGGCGGACGGGUGAGUAACACGUGGAUAACCUACCUAUAAGACUGGGAUAACUUCGGGAAACCGGAGCUAAUACCGGAUAAUAUAUUGAACCGCAUGGUUCAAUAGUGAAAGACGGUUUUGCUGUCACUUAUAGAUGGAUCCGCGCCGCAUUAGCUAGUUGGUAAGGUAACGGCUUACCAAGGCAACGAUGCGUAGCCGACCUGAGAGGGUGAUCGGCCACACUGGAACUGAGACACGGUCCAGACUCCUACGGGAGGCAGCAGUAGGGAAUCUUCCGCUAUGGGCGAAAGCCUGACGGAGCAACGCCGCGUGAGUGAUGAAGGUCUUCGGAUCGUAAAACUCUGUUAUUAGGGAAGAACAAAUGUGUAAGUAACUAUGCACGUCUUGACGGUACCUAAUCAGAAAGCCACGGCUAACUACGUG
Molecule: ribosomal RNA, 497 nt
Filed under: uncultured bacterium
Lineage: Bacteria
Description: partial 16S ribosomal RNA
Rfam family: Bacterial small subunit ribosomal RNA
Source: RNAcentral